This 467-nucleotide ribosomal RNA is filed under the name uncultured bacterium. Its description in RNAcentral is "partial 16S ribosomal RNA". It matches the Rfam family "Bacterial small subunit ribosomal RNA", at positions 28 to 507 of the family's 1533-position model. The record is from RNAcentral.
GAUGAACGCUGGCGGCGUGCUUAACACAUGCAAGUCGAACGGAAAGGCCCAAGCUUGCUUGGGUACUCGAGUGGCGAACGGGUGAGUAACACGUGGGUGAUCUGCCCUGCACUUCGGGAUAAGCCUGGGAAACUGGGUCUAAUACCGGAUAGGACCACUUCUUGGAUGUUGUGGUGGAAAGUUUUUUCGGUGUGGGAUGAGCUCGCGGCCUAUCAGCUUGUUGGUGGGGUAAUGGCCUACCAAGGCGUCGACGGGUAGCCGGCCUGAGAGGGUGUACGGCCACAUUGGGACUGAGAUACGGCCCAGACUCCUACGGGAGGCAGCAGUGGGGAAUAUUGCACAAUGGGCGCAAGCCUGAUGCAGCGACGCCGCGUGGGGGAUGACGGCCUUCGGGUUGUAAACUCCUUUCGCCAGGGACGAAGCGUUUUGUGACGGUACCUGGAGAAGAAGCACCGGCUAACUACGUG